This 466-nucleotide ribosomal RNA is filed under the name Valenciennea strigata (blueband goby). RNAcentral describes it as "partial 12S ribosomal RNA". It matches the Rfam family "Bacterial small subunit ribosomal RNA", at positions 868 to 1528 of the family's 1533-position model. The record is from RNAcentral. Lineage: Eukaryota; Metazoa; Chordata; Actinopteri; Gobiiformes; Gobiidae.
UUCGCCAGGGAACAACGAGCCCCAGCUUAAAACCCAAAGGACUUGGCGGUGCUUUAGACCCCCCUAGAGGAGCCUGUUCUAGAACCGAUACUCCCCGUUCAACCUCACCUUCUCUUGUUUUUCCCGCCUAUAUACCGCCGUCGUCAGCUUACCCUAUGAAGGUCUAACAGUAAGCAGAAUUGGCAUAGCCCAAAACGUCAGGUCGAGGUGUAGCGAACGAGAAGGGAAGAAAUGGGCUACAUUUACUGAGUCAGUCUAUACGGAUAUUGUACUGAAAAAGCAUUUAAAGGAGGAUUUAGCAGUAAGGGAAGAAUAGAGCGCCUCCCUGAAAACGGCCCUGAAGCGCGUACACACCGCCCGUCACUCUCCCCGAACACUUAACACCUAAUAAAUAAGCACCCAACAAAAAUAAGGGGAGGCAAGUCGUAACAUGGUAAGUGUACCGGAAGGUGCACUUGGAAAAACC